AUCACCGAACUGUUUUGAAAGAUAAAAGUACUUCUUGAAUAUGUGGAUGGUGAGCCACGUGAAUGGAAGACAUGGAGAUACGGACUGUUAACACCUUGUCAAACAUUUAUUGUCCCUUCCACCUCUAAACUUCUGUGAUAAUAGGUGAACAGGACCCACGUGGUGCAGAAUACUGCGAUACACACUGUGGAAUAAUUCAGAACAACACGUGGAUUGCUCAGUACAACUUUUUCAUCACAUCCUCCUGUUCACUGAAGAAUUAUGGAAAUAUUCUCUGAGCUGCUUUCCUCCCUGCCCAACGAGUCAUCUCUGUGUGAAAGGCCAAGCUUAUAAAUCCUGGCAGGUCCCUGAUGCUGUUAUUCCUGACUGUGUGAGACCUCUGAACAGAGGGGAAGAAGCUGGCUGCAAUCUUUGCUGUUUCACGGCCUUCAUUUGUGAUACCUCCAGAAAACUGCAGCAGCCCUAUGAUAGAGUAGCCUGAUGGUUGAAAACAACAACAACAUCAACAAGAAAGACCCAACUAAAAUCUCAUUCAAAGAAGAAAGAGACAUUAUACAAAUGCGAGCUGUUGUCAC
This 575-nucleotide long non-coding RNA is filed under the name Pan troglodytes (chimpanzee). Its description in RNAcentral is "lincRNA". The record is from RNAcentral. Lineage: Eukaryota; Metazoa; Chordata; Mammalia; Primates; Hominidae.